This 503-nucleotide ribosomal RNA is filed under the name Bactrocera tryoni. RNAcentral describes it as "partial large subunit ribosomal RNA". It matches the Rfam family "Bacterial large subunit ribosomal RNA", at positions 1799 to 2568 of the family's 2925-position model. The record is from RNAcentral. Lineage: Eukaryota; Metazoa; Arthropoda; Insecta; Diptera; Tephritidae.
CCUGUUUAACAAAAACAUGUCUUUUUGAGUUAUUUUAAAAGUCUGACCUGCCCACUGAAAUUAUUUAAAUGGCCGCAGUAUUCUAACUGUGCAAAGGUAGCAUAAUCAUUAGUCUUUUAAUUGAAGGCUGGUAUGAACGGUUGGACGAGGUAUAAGCUGUUUCAUAUAAAUUUAUAAUAGAACUUUAUAUUUUAGUCAAAAAGCUAAAAUUUAAUUAAAAGACGAGAAGACCCUAUAAAUCUUUAUAUUUUAAGUUGUUUAAAUUUUUUAGAUUAAUUUUAUUUUUAUAAUUUAGAGUAUUUUGUUGGGGUGAUAUUAAAAUUUAAUGAACUUUUAGUUGUUAAAAAUCAUUAAUUUAUGAGUUAUUGAUCCAUUAAUAGUGAUUAUAAGAUUAAGUUACUUUAGGGAUAACAGCGUAAUUUUUUUGGAGAGUUCAUAUCGAUAAAAAAGUUUGCGACCUCGAUGUUGGAUUAAGGUAUAUUUUUAGGUGUAGCCGCUUAAAU